UUAAACACCUGACACAACACGAAUCAACGCCAUCUUUGCUUUGACAUACAACGUCGUGCGCUGAGAAUCGACGAAACGAGAACUCGAGCGCGAGUCUCGAACAGGAUUCCCAUAGUGUGUUACAUUCCAGGUUCAGAUACACUUAUAUCUACAACGAAUACGAAGGAAUCAAUGAGGAAGAGUACAAUAUGUUGGUAAAGGAAUGUUGGCAGGAAGGAAAAAAAGAGGAAGAUAGAUGCCGAUGGAUGAGAUGGGGAAAAGGAAAGCAAGAAUAUUUUACAAGGUGUGGGUACUCGGAGAAAGAGGUAGAAAGGUUUGAAAGCGAAGGAAAAGAGAUGUGGAAGGUUUGGGAAGUAACAGAUAGAUGCAAUAAGAGAGAGCAAAUAAGAUCUGAGAAUCUAAAUACGUUCAGAGACAUUGAAAAAUAAUAGUGCUAGAUUGACCAGGUUACACAAAGAGGAAUGAGGAAAGGAGGAAAAUAGAUUGAGAUCCGGAAACAAGGAAAAAAAGAAUAGAUACUGCAAAGAAAGAAGUAAGAGGUGACGCGAGCUAUGUGAAAAAGAGCUGCAGACGCUGAAGGGAUGGCAAGGUGGGUAGAAAGUAUGGAGGAGUCGCUGGAACAUGAGGGAUAAGGAUUGGAAUAGGCAAAACAAUUAGAGGAAAGAAGGAAGAAGCAGAGAAAAGAAAUAGAAAUGAGCUAAUAAAAAGAGCUGUUACGUCUAGCUUAGGAACGAAACAUUCCGCCUGCACGUGUGAUGAAAGAUGAAAUUCUUCGUUCUAUUUACUAAAAUCAGUCAAUUUACGCUUGUAUAAUAGAAAGGUACGACUAAUCUUAGUAACCUAUAUCUAUAUUUAUAACAAACGAAAAAACACAGCCGUUAGUCCUGCAAGUAACGAUAAUCGUUGAGUAACAGCGAUGCUUUUCGAAUAAGCAUCCAGUAUGUAUAUCUUCCAGCCCAUAUUUGCAUGGGUAAAUGAAUUGUAAUAAACGAUAUCUGGCCAGGUAGAGUUCGGUGUAAUUUCUAGCACUCCACCUUCACCUACAAGAAAUGACAGCGAAUGAGGAAACAUUUAUUUGUAGGAAAAAAAAGAACUAGAAACUUCAUAUUUUCUUACCUGGUUCACACGUACUCACUAAUGUUCUAUUAAAUUGUUUAAACGUCAUAAAAUCAUCAUCUAGUCUUCUGUCUCGGGCACCGUGUUUGCUUAAGCAAAGUGGCCCAACUAAGAGAAAUAAGUUGUUCCGGCAUUACGUAUCUCUUUUCGAAAUAAUUUCGAAUACAGCCGGUUCUGUUUUUACACGGAUUUAAUUUUAUAAUUUAUGAAUUUAUAAUAAUUUCAUUUGACGCGGUUCAAACAGCGCCUCCUUAGAAAAUAUUCAUUUCGCACUUUACACUCGAAGCUUAUUGUCUUUGUAAGUUUAUAAAAUAAGAAAUACGUUCAAAUAUGACUAAAAAUUAAAUAAAAAUUCAAUCGAAGAUUUCUACAGGAUUUGCUCGAAAAUAAUGUAUUAAAUAAAAUUAAAUAAAAAUUUCUUCUAAGUUCUCACUCUUGCAAUCUCUACUAUCCUUUUUAUCGCGUGUUUCUUUCUUUUUUUAGAGAAUCAAUUGAUCGUGUAAAAACAGGACCAGGUGUACAAAUGUUUUAUUACGAACCUGCGGUUGGUCUCGGUUGUCCUCUUCUGGUGAACUCAACACCAGCCAAAACUCUGAUUUUACUUUGCGCCGCAUCACUGAGUUUAUCAUAUCCACCGUGUGGUUCAUUAGUUAUAAUCAAUGGGUGGUACAAAUUAGGACUGUGAGGAUUAUUUCCGCCGUGAACACGGAAAUUGUACGUCAAUCCCCGACGCAGAUAUAAUUUGGGUACCAACUGACCCUCGAUGUACCAUGCCAAACCUGUAGACGUUUGUCCUACGAAUUGAACAAACUAAUAUAUCGUUUGAUAUUAAACAUUAACAAACGAACUAUGGAUAUUUAUGUAAAUUCUUUUCCUUUUCUAUAUGAACGCAGUUAAAGAUGAAGAACCCAUGCAAACAUCUAUUUCGUUCGUUAAAUAACAAGUAUUAUUAUAACAAGUAUUAUUAUAACAAGUAUUAUCAUAACAAGUAUUAUGCUACCUAAAUAUGAAUUCUACAAAUUUACUACAUCUUUAAGUAUCCCAUAAAUGAAGAAAUAUUCGCAUUCUCCAUUAAUAAAUACAAUCAGAAUAUUCGAAAUAUCUCGAACUCUAAACCAAACCUGUAAUUCCUUGAUAGCCCUUUUUGCCCCCAGACGGGCCAAUAGUAGCUCUAAACGACCGAAUACUUCUAUCAAAUAUCUCUGUCUUCUCCCAAGGUUCUCUGGCAAAAUAAUGUUUCCAAUUAGUAGCAUCUGUAUAAAUAUUAAUCAUCAGCGUGUUACUUACAUUAGUUUCUCAUUGGUUUCCGUAAAAUCCAUGCACGUGUUCUCCGGUUCUUCAGGAACUAGUUCUAACUUCAGAUCGCUCUUAGGAUAUACAUCGUGGAAAGUCGGCUCUUUAUUUUCAUCCAAUCUUCCCAAAGCCCAUAUCACGUAAACUGGUCUAUUCGUUGGAUACUCUUUAUCUCCUGGGUCAGCUACGAUAUAAAGUGUCCCAUAUAAUUCUCCACUUCGACACUUCUCUUUCACUUUAUGCGCUAACUUACAUGAGUUGAGAGUACGUCUAUAUGUAACGAUACUAAUUCCAUCUUCUCUAACAGCGGUAUACAUUUGGUUAUUAUCUAAACCCCCGAAUAGUUCAUCCCUGCAAACUCCCCUGUAUUGGCCGAGAACUUUUCCACACUGUUGGUGAAAUAGGAAAACGAUUGUUCUUUUUGCUUUACUUUUAUUUAUCAUAUACCACAUUCUACAAGUCAUUCGAGACACUUGCUCAUGGAUAGUAUAGAAUAUUGAAAUUAGGCAUAAAUAGGUGUAAUAAUUACAAACUGAACUUACAUAAUUUUCCAUUAACUGCGUGUAGUAUAAGGAAAACUAACCGUAAGUUAUGCUAUGUUUUGAAGAUUUUAUUACAAAGCAACUUUGUUAAAGUUUGCGUUUAAAAUGAACACGUGUCUCGUAAUGUAUCAUAAGUGUUGAUAAUGUUUUUUACGUACUGGUGCUUUCGCUGUGAUGUUAUAAUCCACAGCGUAGCCUCGAGUACCGUCCACAUAAGCAAUCACAGCAUCCGCGCCUUCCAUUUGGCUAGAAGUUUCGGAACCAGAGAGACCGAAAGCCAUGUAUUCAUCUUCACCUAAGGGUUUUUGUUACACCGAAACAAACUGACUUGCCCCAUUCAUCCGGUACGAUGAAGCCUUGUGGACCAGGUCGAUUCGACGCACCAGCCCAGAAAAAGGUGUCAGCUCCAUUGCCAUCGUAACUAAAGGAAGUUAACAACAACGUGUACUCGUCAACGACGUAAACGUCACCAGCUACUUGAUGAUGAUACGCGUUCAACUUCCCAAGGCGGAGAUUUCAACGCGCGGUCAAGGAACGUCAUUCGACGCCGUGUUCACUACUCGAAUUAUUAUCCAUCGAUUCACUGUCAGAACAUACGAUUGCCUCGUAUAAUCGAACAUUUUGAGAAACAUACCACAGACAGGAAACAGUACACAUGUUAAAACUGUGACAAGAACAGGCGCUAUCCACCUCCUCGUAACAUCUGCCAUCACUUCAUCUUCCUCGGAUUGCUGGAAAUGUCUCAGGUCUUGUUCCUGAACGAUUCGAUUUUAGUUCUGUCGCCACUAAGAUUCAUGGAAAAACGAAAGCUCGAUCGCAAGCCAGGCGACGAAGCCUCUAGAAGAGAACGACAGGGCACGCAGUCACUGCAAUGGACGCGGUUCCGACUUGUUCUGGCCACCGUCUUUAGAAAGUAGACUUUGAGUGUUCGAACGGCUUACUAUACCGCUCUCCAGCCACCUUGGCACGUGUUCCUGUCUCGAAGAGAAAGUGUGCGUGUACUGGAGGUGCCUCGAACGCGUUUCGAUGUCUACGACUCACGGGUUCUCUCAACCUGUCGAAUUGGAGGGACAGUGUCGUUGGACUCCUGCCUUUCCGGUACUCUAAAAUGGAAUGCAAGUCAGAGAGGAAAAAUAAAGUUGUCAGUUGAAUGGCUAAACAGCAUCCGCUGUAGCGCGCUAUGCCGAGGUUACUUAUUUAUUUCUAAAUGCACGUUUGCGAGCUCAGGAUUAUAAUAUUAUUAUUUCUUUCUUUGUUAUUCUUAUUAACAUCAAAGUUCGGAUUUGUUUAACACAAUUAAUGUUGAUUUUUACUGAAACGGAAAUGCCAUUUACGUAUUCCAAGUCAUAUAACGUCUCUAUAUAAUUAAAGGAAGAUUAUUACAAUAUUAUUACAGUAUUACGAUACAAUAAUAUUGAGAAGUAUGCAUUGUACUUCAGAUUCUACAAAAUUCGUUCGUAAAAUUCUAUAAUAAAAUUAAAUAAUUAAAGAAAAGAUAUUAUACAAAUCUUUAAAGUUCCUUCUCACUCGGAAUUCGUUAAUGUAAAUUAAGUAAAAAAGAAUUGCGAAUGAAAUGUUAGCUCAUUGACGUUAUCUUUUUAAUGGAUUAGAAAGACAAAUAUUUGUAAGGCGUGUAUUUCGUGUUUAAAUUCAACGUUAGCAUGUGCAUACAUGUAUGCAUACAUGAUGUUUGAUCGAUUUAGAGCCGGCGCAAUACGAAGUAAAUAACUCUUAGCAGUAUGUUUACAAAGCUCAAGCACUUCGUUAUCUCGAUAAUGUUGAAUACAGAAUUUAAUCGCCAGAUAAAUGGUAAGAUAUUAUACCGAUAUGAUUCUUAAUUCCUUGAAAUAACAUCUUAUAAUUCAUAGAUUCGGUCGAGGAGCAAUUCAUAUGGCUUCUCAGAUUCGCUACAGUAAGAAAGAUCAAAGAUUUUUUAACGAAAAUGUGAGUAAACGAAUGUACGUAUAUCUCUUGAUCAAUUAUAUCUGUCGUUAAUAACCGUUGCUAUAAUUGUAGUCUAUCGAUAGAUCUACAUUAUCCUACGCCAAAUUUAAAAACGCCUAUCACGUCAGCUAUCGAUCGCGGUGAUGCGCAGAUCUUAUCGUUUUUGUUAGAGAAAAAUUCAACCGAUCUGGACAAUACUACUACUCAACCUUGGGCUAGGACUGCCCUUAUGUACGCCUCUUACGUUUCCAGAAACCCAGAAAUAUUACAGAUUCUUUUGAAAAAGGGGGCAGAUCCUGGAAAAGUGGAUAUAUUACGGCGUUUCAAUAAAUCAAAAAGACGUACAGGGAAGAACGCCGCUUAUGAUCUCAGUAUACGGUUCGAACGUGGACAUUCUCUCGAUUUU
Bombus terrestris (buff-tailed bumblebee) is the source of this 5301-nucleotide RNA transcript. It is a transcript of the gene named putative ankyrin repeat protein RF_0381, with no coding region annotated. NCBI's taxonomy places the organism in Eukaryota, Metazoa, Arthropoda, Insecta, Hymenoptera, Apidae. The record is from RefSeq and is a predicted model, not a curated record. The transcript has 7 exons.